AUGUCCAUGGUGGGUAGAAUCAGCCCACAUGGGCUUAAGACAAGGAUGUGUGGAAACAACCGGGCCAGGCUGGGGCCAACUGGGGCUACCCAGCCCGGGCCGACCCGGUACAGAUGGGAAUGGCCCAUUAAGGCCUGGAAGAGCCGGGAUUCGUUUCACUGUAACAAACAUGAGAGAGAAACAGUGACAUCUGUUCCAGUGUCAUCAGAUCACAGGAAAACACUGAUAUUCACUCUUUUGCCUUUUCUUCCUCAGGGGGGGAUGUUGCAAUAUGGUUCUUCUGGAUGCCGAGUGUCCCUUGGGAGUAGAUACAUACUCUCAGCCAUUGUUGGCUCCUGGGUGUGCUGUGCAUGUUUCCCUUUUGGAAGAACUGAUGCAACGAGUUCACUGCAGCAGAGAACGGUUUGGGUUUGGCUGCAAAGCUGAUGGUUCCUAGCAAUAACUGCACCCAGGGAGCUCCCACUUCCUAAUAAACUUGUUUUAAUUCAUUUCCUUCUCGCAGAGAGCUUGUUACCCGUGACUUCUUUAGGAAUUGGGCAGAAUUAGAUUUGACAUCCUGCUUGAGUGGAGUCACACGGACUGAUUAAUUGGUGACGGAUUUCUGGGAUGUCAGAAAGUUUUGGUCGGUGAUCGCUUACAGCUCGAAGGCGCCUGCUUCUGAUAAUAAUAAAGCAGUGUUUUCAUUCAGCUGCCUGGACAGAAACUCUUUGAUUUGAACUGUCGGCAGCUUGUUUUCAUCUUUUCUCCACCUGAUCCAUAUUUUAUCAGCACUGUUUCUCCAACAUUCUGGUUCAAUAAGUUUCCCCGUAACAAACCUGACUGGAGAACUCGUGUUUGAGCACAGAAGUCAUGACCGGUGAGAUGAUUUGCACGGUGUGAGCAGAUCGUAGCGGCUCAGACGGAAAGAUUAAAGCGCGCGUCUCAGUGUGAGCGUGAAAUAUUCAAGUGCAGCUUUCAGCAUCUCUCCUGUAAUUUCACUUUGAAAAGAUCAGCUUCAUCACUAACAGAGCUCCCCGUGUAAUUACACGUGUACUGAACUGGAGCUGGUAAGCUAACAACAUCUUAUUAUUGGUUAAACGCUGUUAUGAGACUAAUUAAUAAGUAAUUGUAUUGCCAACCCUGUGCGCGGUUGCAGAAAGUGUUCCUGUGGUGUUUUAGCUCGCUCGGUUCUGUCAGGAAGCUUGGUGUCAUCUUUAAAAGAGUUUUUCAGCGACAUCUUUUAGGUAAAUCUCGUUAAUGUUUUAGUUUUUUAAUUGUUUUAGAACUUCAUUCAGAUUUUUGUGAAUCAGAUGCUGAAGUUUAAACCAGAGAGAGGAAACGGGAGCUUCCAUCUGCUUCAGGACUGGUUUUAAAGGUGCGGUUCACUCGUUUAAUCCAUAGAUUUGGAGUGAUCUCGAGUCAGAAUUAACGCCUUGUAAUUCGUACUCAGGGGGGAAAAAGCUCAGAUGCUUUUGUUUCAGGAUGUAGACGUCAGCUGCAGCAGAAAGUAGCUUCAAACGGCAGGAUUUGGAGUCCUAUUUCCUGAUAUUUGGGCACCUUGCCUCCGAUUGGCUGACAGCAAUGCGACUCUACCACUAACUCUGUUUGCUCUGCAGCGUUGAUCUUCUGCCGUGUAGUGGAGUUGCUAAUGCUAACGGUUAGCUUCUACUAGCCGAGACGUUCUCUGCUGUUUCCUGGACGGUGAACCAACAACAUCCUUCCCCGUCGUGAGUCAAGAUGGGCGAGUCCAUGAAUGUUAAGUGGCAGCGUGACGUAGAUCUGUCAGGAUUUUCUAAUCAGAAGCUAAAGCAGGAGAUAGAUGUAGGAGACUAUUUUCAGCUGCAGCCUGCAUGAAAAACUCAGAGUGAUCCAUUAGAAUCAGAAAUAAUCAUUAAAAAGUUUUUUUUCAGCGUUCCACUGCUUUAACAUUAGAAUGUCAGUUUUCUGGCUCCGUCGUAUCGACACCAUCUUCCAUGACUCCUCGUCUCACAACCAGAUGAUGAUCUAAACUCGGUGGCAGAGGUGAGUGCACUUUGCAGCUGCUGCUCCUGGCUCAUGGAAUAACUUACCUCCAUAUCAGAUCUGCUCAGAGUUUGGAAAACUUUUAGGAGCUUGCUUUAGGCUCACGUCAUCCCUCAGACCAACUGCCUGAUACGUUUUAUGUAUUUACAUAGAUUUAUUUAACUUAAUUUUGUUGUUUAAAACAUUUUCUUUUUUUAUUAUUAUUCCCACUUUAGGUAUUUUUGCUGCAGGUCUCAUUUAUAAUCCCUAAGCAUAAGUAGGAUUUUCCCCUGCAAUAAAUGGAAAAGAUUAUACAAAUUCUACAAAUCUAAGUCAGCAAAUGCUCUAAUUUAUUUAUUAAAACAUAUUAAUGUUACUAAACUCACUCUUUCCUAAAUAAAUUCAUGCAUUUAGUCCUUUUCGCUCCAUGAACAUCUGUUUAUGCAACUUUAAGGUUCUUCUCAAUGCAUCAAUGUAGCAUUUCGAUUACUUGUUAUCACUGAGAGGACACACACACACACACACACACACACACACCUCCGGUUAUUCUGUCCGCUGCCUCGCUCUCGGCGGAGUUCGGGUAUAACAACAAAUUUCCAAAACUGACAUUUAAUCUAAGCCACCAAAUCACUGAGGAGAUCCCUCAUCCAUCCAUAAGCUGAAAUGUAUUUAUGAUUAUAUUCACUCACACAUACACACACACACACACACACACACACACACACACGCACACACACACACACACACACACACACACACACACACACACACACAGCAAUAUUACAGAUCGUUUCUCUCAGAGCUCAUGUGACCAACAUGGGAAUGUUUACUUAUUUGUGAUUUUAUUGGAGAAAACAGUAACCUUCAUUUUCAUUAUUGGUACCGCCUCAGGGUCUCAAGUGCUACAGUGUGUGUGUGUGUGUGUGUGUGUGUGUGUGUGUGUGUGUGUGUGUGUGUGUGUGUGUGUGUGUGUGUGUGUGUGU
This 2963-nucleotide long non-coding RNA is filed under the name Nothobranchius furzeri (turquoise killifish). RNAcentral's name for it is "lncRNA (ENSNFUG00015003560.1)". Lineage: Eukaryota; Metazoa; Chordata; Actinopteri; Cyprinodontiformes; Nothobranchiidae. The record is from RNAcentral.